ACGGGUGAGUAACACGUAGUUGACCUACCCUGGAGAGGGGGAUAACGUUCCGAAAGGGAUGCUAAUACCCCAUAAGCACACAGAGGUUAGAGGCUCAGGGUGAAAAGGGCUACCGCAAGGUAGACCGCUUCAGGAGGGGACUGCGGCCCAUCAGCUCGUUGGUGAGGUAGCGGCUCACCAAGGCGAAGACGGGUAGGGGGCCUGAGAGGGUGGUCCCCCACACGGGCACUGAGAGACGGGCCCGACUCCUACGGGAGGCAGCAGUAAGGGAUAUUGCACAAUGGGCGCAAGCCUGAUGCAGCAACGCCGCGUGCGCGAAGAAGGCCUUCGGGUCGUAAAGCGCUUUUCGGGGAGACGAGGAAGGACGGUACCCCCGGAAAAAGUGUCGGCUAACUACGUGCCAGCAGCCGCGGUAAAACGUAGGACGCGAGCGUUAUCCGGAGUUACUGGGCGUAAAGGGCGGGUAGGCGGCUUAUCAAGUUGGGUGUGAAAUCUCCUGGCUAAACUGGGAGGGGGCAUUCGAAACUGAUAAGCUGGAGGACAGCAGAGGGUCGCGGAAUUCCGGGUGGAGUGGUGAAAUGC
This 582-nucleotide ribosomal RNA is filed under the name uncultured bacterium. RNAcentral's name for it is "bacterial SSU rRNA". It matches the Rfam family "Bacterial small subunit ribosomal RNA", at positions 102 to 689 of the family's 1533-position model. The record is from RNAcentral.